This is a long non-coding RNA of Melospiza melodia melodia, 662 nucleotides long. RefSeq lists it as uncharacterized. NCBI's taxonomy places the organism in Eukaryota, Metazoa, Chordata, Aves, Passeriformes, Passerellidae. The record is from RefSeq and is a predicted model, not a curated record. The transcript has 4 exons.
GCAGCUGUGCCACUGCCCCAGCUGAGGUUUGGAUCUGUGUCUCCUGAGUCCUUUAAUCCUCAUAUUCCUGCCCCUGUGAGCUCUGAGUUCAGCCUGUCACCAGGCUGGGUUACCCAGAACAGCCUCAGCUUCCCCACCAAGGACCGAGGAGGGUGAAGAACAGAGAGGUUCCUGCCAUGCUCCAACAGUGAAAAUAUUCCUGGUUUCCUGUUGGCAGCCCUGAGACAGUUACCUUUUGCUCUGUGUUGGGCUGGAAGCCAGUUUACAUGACUACAAGGAUCAGCUUACUGCAGAAAAACAGGCCAUGCUUGCUGACCAUGGAGAUUAUUUUUAAUGUGGCUCCCAUCCCACAGGAGCAAGGACUGCCAGGAAUCUCCCUUCCAUUUUGAAAGCUAUCAGGGUGAACAGGAAACUCAUCAAGCCAAAGUCAGAAGUCUCAAGAAGCUAUUCACCACACUGCAAACCCCUGCUAGGCGGGGAUUUGCUGAAGAGAGGUGUCGAUGAGGACAUGCAAGUGGGUCAGAAUGACAAGUUUCUUCAAGCUGAAUUGCACCAUUUUUUAAAAAUUACCUUCUGGAGAAAGUCUAAGGACAAAAACACACCUCUGCUAGCUAAGCAAAACUCUCCUAAAAGUUCUUGUGCAGAAUAAACUCUACAUCUGA